Sphaerulina musiva SO2202 is the source of this 71-nucleotide small RNA. It matches the Rfam family "bZIP non canonical Hac1/Xbp1 intron". From Rfam's summary of the family: bZIP intron RNA is a non-canonical intron that was first reported in HAC1 gene in yeast and XBP1 gene in Metazoa. NCBI's taxonomy places the organism in Eukaryota, Fungi, Ascomycota, Dothideomycetes, Mycosphaerellales, Mycosphaerellaceae. The record is from Rfam.
GCGCCGCUCGGCCUGACACAACAUUCUGCAGAAAUGUUGUCGUCUGACCCGCAGUGUCGGCCGAGCAACGC